Molecule: non-coding RNA, 167 nt
Organism: Pelobates cultripes (western spadefoot toad)
Lineage: Eukaryota; Metazoa; Chordata; Amphibia; Anura; Pelobatidae
Source: the annotation of a GenBank genome assembly
GGUCAGCUGACACAUCCCUGCCAAUCUCCGGCAGACCCUCCCUCCCAGACCCUCUCACCUCCUGGACAGCAUCCAUGUUGAAGCUGCCUUCAACAUGGAUGCUGUCCAGGAAUUAGGAGGGUCUGGGAGGGAGGGUCUGCCGGAGAUUGGCAGGGAUGUGUCAGCUG